RNAcentral lists this ribosomal RNA (523 nucleotides) under uncultured soil bacterium. RNAcentral's name for it is "bacterial SSU rRNA". It matches the Rfam family "Bacterial small subunit ribosomal RNA", at positions 916 to 1440 of the family's 1533-position model. The record is from RNAcentral.
GGGGCCCGCACAAGCGGUGGAUGAUGUGGUUUAAUUCGAUGCAACGCGAAAAACCUUACCUACCCUUGACAUGUGCGGAACCCUGCAGAAAUGCAGGGGUGCCCGAAAGGGAACCGCAACACAGGUGCUGCAUGGCUGUCGUCAGCUCGUGUCGUGAGAUGUUGGGUUAAGUCCCGCAACGAGCGCAACCCUUGCCAUUAGUUGCUACAUUCAGUUGAGCACUCUAAUGGGACUGCCGGUGACAAACCGGAGGAAGGUGGGGAUGACGUCAAGUCCUCAUGGCCCUUAUGGGUAGGGCUACACACGUCAUACAAUGGCGCGUACAGAGGGUUGCCAACCCGCGAGGGGGAGCCAAUCCCAGAAAGCGCGUCGUANUCCGGAUUGGAGUCUGCAACUCGACUCCAUGAAUCGGAAUCGCUAGUAAUCGCAGAUCANCAUGCUGCGGUGAAUACUUCCCCGGCCUUGUACACACCGCCCGUCACACCAUGGGAAUUGGGGUUCACCAAAACCAGGUUGCCUAACC